RNAcentral lists this ribosomal RNA (497 nucleotides) under uncultured bacterium. RNAcentral's name for it is "partial 16S ribosomal RNA". It matches the Rfam family "Bacterial small subunit ribosomal RNA", at positions 28 to 507 of the family's 1533-position model. The record is from RNAcentral.
GAUGAACGCUGGCGGCGUGCCUAAUACAUGCAAGUCGAGCGAACGGACGAGAAGCUUGCUUCUCUGAUGUUAGCGGCGGACGGGUGAGUAACACGUGGAUAACCUACCUAUAAGACUGGGAUAACUUCGGGAAACCGGAGCUACUACCGGAUAAUAUUUUGAACCGCAUGGUUCAAAAGUAUAAGACGGUCUUGCUGUCACUUAUAGAUGGAUCCGCGCUGCAUUAGCUAGUUGGUAAGGUAACGGCUUACCAAGGCAACGAUGCAUAGCCGACCUGAGAGGGUGAUCGGCCACACUGGAACUGAGACACGGUCCAGACUCCUACGGGAGGCAGCAGUAGGGAGUCUUCCGCAAUGGGCGAAAGCCUGACGGAGCAACGCCGCGUGAGUGAUGAAGGUCUUCGGAUCGUAAAACUCUGUUAUUAGGGAAGAACAUAUGUGUAAGUAACUGUGCACAUCUUGACGGUACCUAAUCAGAAAGCCACGGCUAACUACGUG